UGGAUUGGUGGGCGCUUGUGUGUUCAGCCUUCGGGUGCAUUGGCACAAGUGCUUAUCCGCUGUGGGUUCUCGGGGGUCGAUUUUGGACUCCCGGGGACUGAGGGCUCCCUUUUAGGUGAGGACAGCGGAGUGACGACGCGAUACGACCCGUCUUGAAACACGGACCAAGGAGUCUAGCGCGGGUGCGAGUCGGAGGGUGCAAGCCCGUGGGCGAAGUGAAAGCGAGUUUAAAAACGAGCAGUUUGGGGCGGCAUAAGAUCGUUGAUCUUAAGACCGACCCAGAGCAGUUGCGCUGGGACCCGAAAGAUGGUGAACUAUGCCGGAGUAGGGCAAAGCCAGAGGAAACUCUGGUGGAGGCUCGUAGCGGUGCUGACGUGCAAAUCGCUCGUCGAACUUGGGUAUAGGGGCGAAAGACUAAUCGAACCAUCUAGUAGCUGGUUCCCUCCGAAGUUUCUCUCAGGAUAGCGGGCCGACAAGUUGUUUUGUGCGGUAAAGCGAAUGAUUAGCGCAUUCGGGGGCGUUUAGCCUUCGGGCGAUUCUCAAACUUUCAAUGCGCAAGGGUGCCGCUGCUUAAUUGAGCGGUACCGGUAAAAACGUCGGCCCUGUGGGCCACUUUUGGUAAGCAGAACUGGCGAUACGGGAUGAACCGUAAGCAAGGUUAAGGCGCCAAACUGCCCGCUUAUAGACCCCACAAAAGGUGUUGAUUCAUCGAGACAGCAGGACGGUGGCCAUGGAAGUCGGAAUCCGCCAAGGAGUGUGUAACAACUCACCUGCCGAAUGAAUUAGCCCUGAAAAUGGAUGGCGCUGAAGCGGGCGGCCGACACCUUGCCGUCUGAACAAGAAUUUCAGAUGAGUAGGAGGGCGUGGCGGCCGUGUCGAAGCAUGCGUGCAGACGCUUGUGAAACGGCCGCUAGUGCAGAUCUUGGUGGUAGUAGCAAGUAUUCAAGCGAGAUCCUUGAAGGGCGAAGUGGGGAAGGGUUUCACGCGAACAUUGAUUGGGCGUGAGUGAGUCGUUCCUAAGCCGAGUGGCAAUUGCUAAUUAACGGCGAAAGGGAAGCGGGUUGACAUUCCCGCACACGGAUGUGGAGGCGGCGACGCAUUAUUGGGGCGAACACGCUGGCGAUGGCGCUGGGCAGAGUUGUCUUUUCUGUUUGACCGCUUGCGCACGCAGUGUGGAAUCCUCUUAUAGGGAGAAACACGCGUGUACGGGCAGAGCGCUGGGGCUUUUCCAGCGUCCAGCUCGCCAUCGACGGCCCUUGAAACUUUGCCUGCUGAUUUAAGAUCCACGCCGUGGCGUACCGAUAACCGCAUCAGGUCCCCAAGGUGAACAGCCUCUGCUCAAUAUGAAAAAUGCAGGUAAGGGAAGUCGGCAAAUUAGACCCGUAACUUUGGGAAAAGGGUUGGCUCUAGUGCUGCGUGGGAGUGGUUGUCGGACGCCGGCGUUUUUAGCGUGGCGGCUUGGCGCGGGACCUCUUCGGGGGACCUGUUCCUGCUGCUGCGCCGAUUGCGCCGCGGCCGACGACGCCCACAGCAUGCAGCAAACUAGAACUGCAACGGGCAAAGGGAAUCCGACUGUUUAAUUAAAACAAAGC
This 1592-nucleotide ribosomal RNA is filed under the name Gymnogongrus flabelliformis. RNAcentral's name for it is "LSU rRNA". It matches the Rfam family "Eukaryotic large subunit ribosomal RNA", at positions 437 to 2157 of the family's 3401-position model. The record is from RNAcentral. Lineage: Eukaryota; Rhodophyta; Florideophyceae; Gigartinales; Phyllophoraceae.